Molecule: long non-coding RNA, 3004 nt
Organism: Dinoponera quadriceps
Lineage: Eukaryota; Metazoa; Arthropoda; Insecta; Hymenoptera; Formicidae
Exons: 3
Source: RefSeq, a predicted model, not a curated record
UUCAACUGAAAAAUAAUAAAUAAUCAUUUCUGGCAAUAAAGUACAAUAGCCUCUGUGUGUUUUAUUCUGGAUAUACAAUUGAUAAAGUGUCGUGAAUUAAAUGUAUUUGAUAUCAAGCCAUAGAUUGAAAUUCCGUUAAAGCAAAGAUUACUUAAAAUUAAAUGAAGAGCCUUCGUUGACGCCAUAAAGCAUUCCGCUAUCAACUCAAGCAUCAAGCUGUCAAGAGCACAAGCGGCGCGUUGUUUGAUAUUAAAGCCUCGAGACUCUCAUAUAAGUUUACUAUACAUUUACAUAUAUUCCCAGACCUUGUUUAUUCCUUGAAAAUAUAUGUGCUGUCCUCAAAUUGUCUCGAGAAAUUAAUUGAACGUCAUACCCUUCAUACGUAUUCCAUACGUCGUAAUAUUAUAUUAUUUCACUGAAAUAACAAGGCAGUUUAAAAUUAAUUAAAGUACCUUUCUCGGUGUCACAAUCCGUCCGUUGCGGAUUCUCGCAACAUCCAUCCUGAUUUCAAUCUCGAUUUCGAACCGUGUGUCGAGAAAAGUCGGAUUCUGCAAAGUUAUUUGAGAUGCGCACGGACAUGAUUGCAUCGACGCUACAGCAACGGUGCUUUCUCACGUCCGUUUUGAUCUGGCGCCGUAAGCGUUAUCCCGAAAUAGUGCAAGUUGCGAGAAAAGUGGAAAUACUACUCAGCGGAAAUACAUGACAAGCAAGUAGAUGCUUCAUAAGGGGCUCAUACAUACGCCUGUGCGCGCGCUCGGAAAGAUUCAAGAUAUCAGCGUCAAGUGCAAUUUACACUAUCGCGCUUUAGCGGGAGAUUCUCGCCGGCGGGUACUUAGAGCGUUAAACGUAUCUCGGUUAAAUCCGGCAAAGGUACGUGCUUUGGCACUGCUCAUCUCGGCCGGUAUCAGCGCCGCGGCGUAAUAACAAGGCCGCUGUGACUUCCUGAAUAAUUUUCGCAGCACGUGCUUUGCUGUAGCGGAAAAAGACUUCGCGGGUAUCAGAGACAUUCUUUAACCUUCCCUCACUUCACCCUUCCUCGAGCGCUCGGGCGAUACGCGAAUGAUACACGAGCGGGAGACAACGCACAAUUUUCCGCAAGAGAGCGAGACAGGAUGAGAGAGAGAGAGAGAGAGAGAAGGAUGGAGACGAGUCACAAUUUGUAGCCGUUGACAGGUAAGCCCGGUAAUUUAUGAUCCGGCAACGCCGGAUGUCAUAGCGGUCGGGUUUUAGAGCGGUGGUUUCCGCCAACUUACCUGAAAUACAAGGGUCACCGCGGAAAAAUGCGUUGCCUUAUUGCGUGCUUAAGGAUUUAUGCGUGUUACCACAACGUCGUUUCGCUGAUCUCUCUCUCUCUCUCCCUUUCUCUCUCUUCACUUUCUUCUCUCUCUCCUUCUCAUGUGCCACGCGUGCAUUUGCAACGGACAUCUCGCGUUUUCCGUGCCGCGAAGUUUAAUCGUCCCGGUAGCUACUCGCGAUUACGCUAAGGUUACUCGUAAAGCGUAUAAGCGCGCUGGCACACUUAGGAGAAACUAAACGAGGACCUGUCUGUGAAUGUCAUCUUGCUAAUAUAUGUAAGUGCCUUCAAGCGCGCACGACGCACGCUGCUUUGCAUUCCGUUGAAGUAAAAUUGCGCUUAAUAUCAGCCGAAAGAUAAUGUCUCCCUGUGCCGCAGCGCUUUGCAACGCGAGACGGGUAAUACGCCACUCUCUUUCUCUCUCUCUCUCUCUCUCUCUUGAUCGUACGUGUUUCGAAGGGAUAUGGGAGUCUCACGCGCGAAACGCAAAAUCCUCGCAGGAUCCGAUUUCGCGGGAUUAAAGUUUUUAACCGCCGUAAUUGAGUGCCGAGCGAGCCGCCGAGUCAAGCGGCGGAUGAGCGCGCGAUGAAACGUUAUCGGUGUUAUCCGGACUCGAGAUUGUUAUUUUACGCGAACAUUCGGCGAGUACGUCGUAAUAUGCAUACGCGGGCAGCAGCAUCUGCGAGCGCGGCACGCGUUCUACAACGGGGCGCGCUCAAGGAAGGAUUUAUCGAUCACAGCUAAGAAUAAACACUGCUGCAACAUGAGAAGAAAUUAAAUCUUCCCAUUGUGGAAACAAUGACUAAGAAUCAAGACUCCCAAAGGAUCAGGAUGAACGGAGCCCGGAUACGCGGCUUUGGCGUACUAGCCGGAGACCUGUAACUUGCGGCGAAGGACGGAGAGAACGGGCGGACUUUCGAUACGGUAUUUGCGCGGCGACUUUAAGGGUGAAUAAAAAGAUCAGCAUCUCGUUGGCGCAACAAUGAUGUAUGCUACACGAGUGGGUACAGAGCUAAGUUUACCUUCGCGUCGAACUUCAGACCGGGGAGAUCUCACGACAGGAAACCACGCGGCGUAUAUCGGAAAGAGAGAUACCGGACGGUGGGAUUGAAGGCAUUCCAGAACGCGGAGUGAAAACUUGUUCGACCGUAAGGAACAGCUAGCGGUAGUACCAGCACGUAGCCACUUGCUAACGCAUUUCUUCGAGCAUCGCAAUAGCAUGAGCAUGACGCCGCAAGUAUAUCGGAAGGCAAACGAACGGUGUAAGCGUCGCACGUUUUGAAGGAAGAUCGAUAUCGUCGAGAAGAUCCGAAAUUGAAUUUCCCAGCGGAGCCACCCUUCUUGUAUCACCGUUGGCUUGGCGACGGACUAAUAAAAGAAUGUGCGGAACGCGAUUAGCGCUUUGGGAAAAAAAAUUCUGUCUUUCACGGUUUCGUUCGUGGCUCAAGAUACGAGCGUUCACGCGAGAGGAACUCGACGGGUCCUAUUCAAAAGGACGACUUCCAUUCAAGAGGCUACGCGCAAAAGUAGUUAACUCUAAUAUGUUCGGAUGUCUACACGGAAAAGAGGAAUUAGCUGUCCAUAUAUUACAACUGAAAUUUUGUUACCAAACCUAGUUCUUAGCUGAAAAUUAGGUACGGAGACAAAAUUAACGAAAUUUCAAUUAUAUUGUAACGACAGCUAAUUUUUACCUGUGGCAGCUAGUUUUUA